RNAcentral lists this long non-coding RNA (678 nucleotides) under Astyanax mexicanus (Mexican tetra). RNAcentral describes it as "lncRNA (ENSAMXG00005003645.1)". Lineage: Eukaryota; Metazoa; Chordata; Actinopteri; Characiformes; Acestrorhamphidae. The record is from RNAcentral.
CGCUUUAUCUGGAAAGUUCACCGCAACACCUGCCAUUCGGUACAUCAACAGUUCUGGAGUUCGCUUCACGAAUGUGCGACAUGAGGGCAGAGAUCUGCAAGACGCCACGUUUUCUGCUGCCUUUUACUGAGCGUUUCACAAAGAAAUCGCAAGUUUGAUCUCUAAUAUUAUUAUUAUUAUUAAUAUACAUGUGAUCUGUGACUUAUUCUGGAUUUGCACAAGCCUCUGCAUAAUCAACACAAACCCCAUGUUUGCACUGAAACCCCGGAUUUAAGGAAUACUCCGUCCCCUCCCAGAAACUUUCCCAGCAGUGUUUAAUGCUGAUAUAAAAAGCAGCAGCUUAGCUUUGAUCGGAGCUGAAAGUACAGCUUGUCUUUUGUGUUUAACUCAACGUCCGGAGCGCUGGAUCAUUCCUGCCCUCUCUGCUCUCCUCCCGCCAUGCUGGACUUCAUAAUAAACUGCACUCGCUCCGGCUGAACUGAUCAACCGCUAAGUUGCUCUGGAAGGAUAUAAAUGUCCCUGUGGGUAAAAAGUGCUCUGGAAACUGCUGGAGUUCAGAUGACAGAAGAUUAUUGGAGAAAAAACCCACAGUAAAACAGAAGAUGGCAAAGUAAGUAUUUCAUCUGUUUUUAUUUAUAACAGUAAAAUUAUACGUAGUGAAAUUGUGAUUCAUAGAUG